CGGGAGGCAGCAGUAGGGAAUCUUCCACAAUGGACGAAAGUCUGAUGGAGCAAUGCCGCGUGAGUGAAGAAGGGUUUCGGCUCGUAAAACUCUGUUGUUAAAGAAGAACACCUUUGAGAGUAACUGUUCAAGGGUUGACGGUAUUUAACCAGAAAGCCACGGCUAACUACGUGCCAGCAGCCGCGGUAAUACGUAGGUGGCAAGCGUUGUCCGGAUUUAUUGGGCGUAAAGCGAGCGCAGGCGGUUUUUUAAGUCUGAUGUGAAAGCCUUCGGCUUAACCGGAGAAGUGCAUCGGAAACUGGGAGACUUGAGUGCAGAAGAGGACAGUGGAACUCCAUGUGUAGCGGUGGAAUGCGUAGAUAUAUGGAAGAACACCAGUGGCGAAGGCGGCUGUCUAGUCUGUAACUGACGCUGANGCUCGAAAGCAUGGGUAGCGAACAGGAUUAGAUACCCUGGUAGUCCAUGCCGUAAACGAUGAGUGCUAAGUGUUGGAGGGUUUCCGCCCUUCAGUGCUGCAGCUAACGCAUUAAGCACUCCGCCUGGGGAGUACGACCGCAAGGUUGAAACUCAAAGGAAUUGACGGGGGCCCGCACAAGCGGUGGAGCAUGUGGUUUAAUUCGA
Molecule: ribosomal RNA, 621 nt
Filed under: Levilactobacillus brevis
Lineage: Bacteria; Bacillati; Bacillota; Bacilli; Lactobacillales; Lactobacillaceae
Description: bacterial SSU rRNA
Rfam family: Bacterial small subunit ribosomal RNA
Source: RNAcentral